RNAcentral lists this ribosomal RNA (253 nucleotides) under uncultured bacterium. RNAcentral describes it as "partial 16S ribosomal RNA". It matches the Rfam family "Bacterial small subunit ribosomal RNA", at positions 524 to 776 of the family's 1533-position model. The record is from RNAcentral.
UACGUAGGGGGCAAGCGUUGUCCGGAUUUAUUGGGCGUAAAGAGCUCGUAGGCGGUUCGUCGCGUCGGCUGUGAAAUCCCGAGGCUCAACCUCGGGUCUGCAGUCGAUACGGGCGGACUGGAGUUCGGCAGGGGAGACUGGAAUUCCUGGUGUAGCGGUGAAAUGCGCAGAUAUCAGGAGGAACGCCGGUGGCGAAGGCGGGUCUCUGGGCCGAUACUGACGCUGAGGAGCGAAAGCGUGGGGAGCGAACAGG